Labrus mixtus (cuckoo wrasse) is the source of this 582-nucleotide non-coding RNA. The record is from the annotation of a RefSeq genome assembly. NCBI's taxonomy places the organism in Eukaryota, Metazoa, Chordata, Actinopteri, Labriformes, Labridae.
AUGAUGUCACUGGUUCUACUGAUGGUCACCCUGGGGCUCCUUGUUCAGGGUUCCUCAGGAGACAUCCUCCUGACUCAGACUCCUGGAUCUCUGUCUGUUGUUCUAGGACAAACUGUCUCUAUCAGAUGUAAAGCAAGUUCACAUGUGGACAAUGAGGUAGACUGUUAUCUUCAGAAACAUGGAGAAGCCCCUAAGCUCCUGAUUUGGUGGACUUCCAACCGUCAGUCUGGAGUUUCAGAUCGUUUCAGUGGGAGUCAGUCUGGAACUGACUUUACUUUGACCAUCAGUGGAGUCCAGACUGAAGAUUCAGGAGAUUAUUAUUGUCAGCAGGGUAGCAGCUACCCGUUCACACAGUGAUACAACAUCUUACAAAAACCUCCGUCAGCUGUAGAGGAACUGAUCUGACUGAACAGCUGCAGAGUAACAGAUGCACUUUACAACUUUGUCUGCUAACUAGGUCCAUAAAACAGAGAACAGUUUAUAGUAUAACUCUGUUUAUUGAUAAAUUUGUUUGAAAAGAGCAUUAAGAAAAUAAGUCUGAACAAACUACAUUGACUGAAGAUAAGCUGCAAAGUGAACACG